This 5271-nucleotide long non-coding RNA is filed under the name Homo sapiens (human). RNAcentral describes it as "HSALNT0403961". The record is from RNAcentral. Lineage: Eukaryota; Metazoa; Chordata; Mammalia; Primates; Hominidae.
CUUAAAUGUUAUGAUAUUUUGUGACGGAUAGUGAGACCAGCUUUCACUUUUCUGCCAUACAAAAUAAACUGAGCAGGUAUGCAUAUCUCGUUGAUAACCGAGCUGCCUUUUUCAAGACACCAUUGUGAUCUGUGGCUGUAAGUAACAUAAAUGUAAUAUAUGAUCUUCCAUUAAAGAAACCAGAUAAGGUUAAAUUGCCACCGUUUCUUGGAAAAUUUUGGUUAGAUAGAAUAAAGAAUUUUCUGGCAGUCAACAACAUAUUAGUCUAUGUUUCCGAUAUGGGUUUACUAGUUUUCUUGAUAGAUUCUUAGCAGAAAAAUGAGGAAGGUAUAUACUCAGAAGACUGUCAUGAUGAGCCGUUGAGCCAAAUCUAUGCAAAAGCAUAAUACCAAAAAGAUAUAUUUCUCUCUGUAUAUACAUGUAUAAAAUUGUGGUUCUUCUAAAAGCAUAUAAGAAUUUUAUAUAGUCAAUUUUAAAAGGAUAUCUGUAUUUCAGAAGAUGUUGGCCAGUCAAUUGGAUACUCACUACAUGAAUCUGGAUAUAAAAAUAUGGGGUUUUCUUCCUUUGAUUUGCUACUGUUUUAUGACAAUGGAAAAGAAAUCAAUGUGUGUAGAGAACAGCUUACUUUUCCUGGUAUCACAGUCUAACCUUUAGGUUGCAGGGUCAUUAGGAUUUCAAAGUGACAGUACUGAAUGUGACUCUUCCUGAAGCCCCUUGCAGAUGGUAAAAUAAAUCUCCCUAAUUGCAAACCUAACCAUAUGCUGGCUAAUUUAAUGUUGGGAAAUAUUCUUCAAUAUUAUUUACCAUACCACAUGUAUAUUAUAUAUACUAUAUAAUAUAAACUAUAUAAUGGUAUAUAGUAUGUCAGUAUACAUUCUAAUUCAUAUUAUAUAUGCAUGCUUAUAUAUUGUCCAGUGCUACGUAACUAUGGGUAGCCUCACUUUCCCCCACCCCAAUUUCUUCUCAUAUCGUUAAGCUAAGACAACACCACAAGGUUGGAGUACUUCAGAACUGGAGAAUGGCCACAGAAAUCAGCCUUGGUUUUUAACUAAUGUGUGGGAAGUGAGGUUCAGAGAGGUUAUGUCAUUUGCCCAAUCUCACACGGCCAGUUACAGGAAGAGGGCAGGUCUGAAAACACACACACUCUCAACACCCACCGACACACACACUCGGAAUGUACACUCAGUGCACCUAGAAAUUCAACACCCACGGACACACACACUCAGAUAUGUACACUCAGUGCACCUAGAAAUUCAACACUCACCGACACACACACUCGGGAUGUACACUCAGUGUGCCUAGAAAUUCAACACCCACCGACACACACACUCGGGAUGUACACUCAGUGCACCUAGAAAUACACAUUUCUGUGAACUCAAAGCGAACAGGGUGGAGAAGUGCACAAUGCUUCAUAGUUUUAGAUCUCAGAGACACGAAAGCACUUGAACUUUUGCAUUCUGCCUCAACCAUCUCACUUCUGCUCCCAGUGUGUGUGUAGAAUCAGAAGACAGCCCCAGCCACACUGUGACCUGCAGGCUGUGAGGCUGUGUUUCACCUGCUUGAGUGGGCAAUGGAAUUACCUGGGCAUUCUAGUUUGGUAGGUUGGUCUAGGGUGAAGGGCCUGAGAAUUUGGAGUUCUAAUAAGGUCCCAGGUGAUGCUGAGGCUGCCGAUACAGGGAGCACGCUGGGAAUAUCUGCAUGAGAGGGAGAGCUCCUCCUGAUACUCAAGCUUCCAAUGUGCAUUACUACUUCCCUUCUCCUGCCUGCUUCUGAUUUGCUGUGUGCUGGGGAGAAACACGCGAACUAAAUAUGCCUGAACUGUGUUUAGACUGUGUUCAUGAGCAAUGACUGACGGCCUCCUUUUGGUGAUAACUAUUUGGCCGUCUUUUCAUUUUUUUAACUCUUCAAUACACACAGAGCAGCUGAAAAUGCCCAAACUCUGCCCUGCAGAUAGGCCGGUGUGUGACCGUCUCUGUCUCCUACAAUAACUGGGCACAUUCUGUCAGAGUCACUGUCAUGAUAAUCAGUCUGAUUGCUAAGGUGAACCCCAGAUUCUCAAGUAGGAAGUAAUUUCUGCUGUGCCAUCUAUAGAAAGACUUUGGGGAAUGGCAGGGAAGGGUUACAUGGAACCUUUAUUCCGUUCCACAAAUGCAGCAGUUAAGUUCUCUGAGUGCCCACAGGACCGGGUGUUAAUGCAGAUGCCACAAUCCUCCUCCCCUCUAGAGAAACAACAUGGUCCCAGGGAAACGUGAAUGCUAGAGUAGGCGUUAAGAAUUCUCCAUUCUAAAUCUGCUUUUCUACCAACCUUUGCUGUGGACAAGAACAAGUCUCUUCAUCACUGAGGCUCCGUAUCUGGAAGCCUGGAAUUAAGAGACUAAGAAGGAUUACUCCAAGGGACUCUAAAAGCAUCCACAACAAUUACAUCUGCUGCCAUUAUCUACUCAACUGGUUCUAAGCACGGUCUUUCUUGAACAACUUCUAAUGAGGUUACGACUUUCAAAGUUUUCCCUUUUGUCUUUUUUCAGGCAGACACCUGGCUGCGGGAGCCACUGCCAAGUCUAGCUGUCAGAUGAGGAAUCUGAGGGUCUAAGAGGAGACAUGAGCUGCUGAGAUUGACUGAGCUAGCAGGGCCAGACAUAGACUCCACGGGCAGGCCCGCAGUCUUUCCACCAGGUCAGGCCACUCCCUCGCCCAGGGCUCAAGAUUCCUUUUAGAGUUCAACAGAGCAGCUCCCGAGAACAGACCAGCCCUCAAGACUCAAAUUUCAGUGGUUUCCAGUUCUUUCUCCCUGCACUCAGCUACCUAUUUAUUUUGAGACUGGCUGAAUCACCCGAAGAAUAGAACGGGUUUCUCUGAAGCUGCUCCCGGCAGCAUGUCAGCAAAUGAACAGGACAGCGAGCUGGCCUCUGGAGCCUUGGAAGAUUCUCACCUCCAAGCAGCUGCAGUUUUUGACUCGUCCUGGGAAACUGGCACUGAGACUCAGGGGUGUAACAUUUCACCUCCCUGAAAUCAAAUCCAGAAAUCUCAGGCGAGCAGCAUAUAUAAAAAGCCACAGGGGAAAAAAGGAAUACGGACUCAGCAACUCUUAGGUGCUCUGAGCCUCUUCCCAAGCCUUCUGGUUCUGUGAGCAUUUCAUUGAAAGAAAAUGGAAUAACAGAGUUUUAGAAGAAAAACUGUAUUUGGUCUUGCAAGAGAAAAGUAUAUUCAUAUAAAACUCAGUUCUCAACUAUUUGCCAAGGUUACUUCUUUUGUUUCCAACAUUUAAAAAGGGUAUCUAGUUGUAGGUAGAGAAAACAUUAAGAUAUGUGAAUGGAAAAAGGUAAAAUUUCUAAAAGUAUGGAUUCACAGUGGGGUCUGAUUUAAAUGUUUAAAUUUUUUCUCUUUAAUUUCUUCUCACCAAUCCUGAAAGACACGACGAGAUAAUAUCUACUUUCAAUAAAUCAAUUAAUUUUAUUUAAAAUCCCUAAGAUUUUAAUAUAGUACAUGCAAAACAAUAAUAGAUUUUCUAUUUUUUAAUUAUCUAAUUAUAUUUAUAUUAUCUAAUUGACAGACUACUUAAAAAGCACAUUGAUAUAUAUUAUCUCAAUGUGUCCUCAAGAACCCUGUGCAGUAGGCAGAACUCAUAGUAUUAUUCCCAUCUUAUAGAUGACCCAGGGGAAGCUUCUAGAUGCUCAGAGCUUUGCAGGUCACACAACAGCAUAGGUGCUUCAUGUUAAGAAGCAGAACUGCAUUUUGAUAAAACCUUUAAUUGGAAAAAGAUCACCUCUCCCUCAAGGAAGUAGGGCAACAUGGUUGACAGGGUUAUGUUUCAAUGAGGAAUACAUUUGUUGAAGCCAGUUCAGUGAUGCAGUAAUUGGAAUUAAUAAUAGGUAGUAUGGAAGGAAAAGAGAAAAAGCCCUUAUUGUACUGUAUUGUGAGGGCCAAAUCUGCCAAGCUUUUUUUUUUCUUCUUUUUUUUUAAGUACUUGGCAAUGGUAAAUAUUUGGCCCCCACUUGAACAGAAUUCCAUUUGUUUCCUCUCAUAAGGUCUUUGGGACAUGGUCAAGGGGCCUACCCGUCUAGAGCAUGUGCUUUAAUAAUAGCAGCUAAUAUUUAAGGAACACUUCUGUGCCCAGCACGGUGCUAUGCCCUAACAUGAAUUAUUUUAUUCAAUCCGCACAAUAAUCCCCAACAGAGGGAUAUCAUACUCCUGGUUUUAUACCCAAGGAGGCUGAGGGUGGGGAGGUUAAUCUGAUCCCGAAGGGGAGGCCAGGCUGAAUCAGGAAGCCAGCUCUGGAGCUUCGCCAUCAGCCACUGCUCCAGCUCGCCUUUCAGGCUAUCUCUUUUAAUCCUCACAUCCCCUAGCAAGAGAGGUAUCAUGCAGUCCAUUCUACAGAUGGGAAAACUGUGAAACGCAGUUUUAGACUUGAAGCUCCAAACUCCUUUCUCGCUCACCGAGGCUACCUGAGCACCCUGGUUCACUUUAUUUUUUGAGACAGAGUCUCACUCUGUCACCCAGGCUGGAGUGCAGUGGAGCAAUCUCGGCUCACAGCAACCUCUGCCUCUCGAGUUCAAGUGAUUCUCCUGCCUCAGCAUCCCGAGUAGCUGGGAUUAUAGGCGCCUGCCACCAUGCCCGGCUAAUUUUUGUAUUUUUAGUAGAGACGGGGUUUCACCAUGUUGGCCAGGCUGGUCUCGAACUCCUGACCUCAGGUAAUCGGCCCACCUCGGGCUUCCAAAGUGCUGGGAUUACAGGCGUGAGCUACCGCGCCCAGCCCCCUGGUUCACUUUUGAAACACUGGGCUAUGCCUGGCGAGUAGUGUCCGAGAGGCGCGUGGGACGUGGCUCCGCAUAUUUCUCCUAGCUCUUUCAAAUGAAUGAACUGGAAAUAUCAUACAACCACUUCAAAGGUAAGUGAAAAUAAGGUGGUACCAGGAAAAUAUUCAAAGGGCCAUAAAUCUAUGUAGUAUCUAGGAACUUAUUUCAAAUGUUUACUCUUUAUUUUAAAUAAUCAGAAUAUGACUUUUAAGCCAUGGUGAACAAAAACAAAUACAAAAUCAAACAAGUAUCAAAUGUUCGACAUUUCAGUAUAUGGAAGUACACUGAAAGAUUUCAAUAGCAGUCUGGGUUUUUGUCAAUAAUUGCUUUAAUGGAAACUAAGUAUAUGUAUAUCAUGAAAGUACCAAACCAAUGUACUGCCUUUAAAUAACUUUCUAGGGGUCUUGAGAGUUGGCAGAUUGAUUCCAUUGUGUUACUUUUUGAAAAGGCAAACAGAAAAGAACUUUGCUUUGGGUAC